GGACCCGUAGCUCAGCUUGGUAGAGCACUGGCCUUUUAAGCCAGGUGUCGCGAGUUCAAAUCUCGUCGGGUCCA
Molecule: transfer RNA, 74 nt
Filed under: Candidatus Pacearchaeota archaeon
Lineage: Archaea; Nanobdellati
Description: tRNA-Lys
Rfam family: tRNA
About the family: Transfer RNA (tRNA) molecules are approximately 80 nucleotides in length. Their secondary structure includes four short double-helical elements and three loops (D, anti-codon, and T loops).
Source: RNAcentral